RNAcentral lists this ribosomal RNA (253 nucleotides) under uncultured bacterium. Its description in RNAcentral is "partial 16S ribosomal RNA". It matches the Rfam family "Bacterial small subunit ribosomal RNA", at positions 524 to 776 of the family's 1533-position model. The record is from RNAcentral.
UACAGGGGGGGCAAGCGUUGUUCGGAAUUACUGGGCGUAAAGGGCUCGUAGGCGGCCAACUAAGUCCGACGUGAAAUCCCAAAGCUUAACUUUGGAACUGCGUCGGAUACUGGAUGGCUUGAAUUCGGGAGAGGGAUGCAGAAUUCCAGGUGUAGCGGUGAAAUGCGUAGAUAUCUGGAGGAAUACCGGUGGCGAAGGCGGCAUCCUGGACCGACAUUGACGCUGAGGCGCGAAAGCUAGGGGAGCAAACGGG